CCUACGGGAGGCAGCAGUAGGGAAUCUUCCGCAAUGGACGAAAGUCUGACGGAGCAACGCCGCGUGAACGAUGAAGGCCUUCGGGUCGUAAAGUUCUGUUGUUAGGGAAGAACAAGUGCUAGUUAAAUAAGCUGGCACCUUGACGGUACCUAACCAGAAAGCCACGGCUAACUACGUGCCAGCAGCCGCGGUAAUACGUAGGUGGCAAGCGUUGUCCGGAAUUAUUGGGCGUAAAGCGCGCGCAGGCGGUUUCUUAAGUCUGAUGUGAAAGCCCCCGGCUCAACCGGGGAGGGUCAUUGGAAACUGGGAAACUUGAGUGCAGAAGAGGAAAGUGGAAUUCCAAGUGUAGCGGUGAAAUGCGUAGAGAUUUGGAGGAACACCAGUGGCGAAGGCGACUUUCUGGUCUGUAACUGACGCUGAGGCGCGAAAGCGUGGGGAGCAAACAGGAUUAGAUACCCUGGUAGUCCACGCUGUAAACGAUGAGUGCUAAGUGUUAGAGGGUUUCCGCCCUUUAGUGCUGAAGUUAACGCAUUAAGCACUCCGCCUGGGGAUACGGUCGCAAGACUGAAACUUAAUGAAUUGACGG
RNAcentral lists this ribosomal RNA (586 nucleotides) under uncultured bacterium. Its description in RNAcentral is "bacterial SSU rRNA". It matches the Rfam family "Bacterial small subunit ribosomal RNA", at positions 338 to 916 of the family's 1533-position model. The record is from RNAcentral.